Molecule: ribosomal RNA, 282 nt
Filed under: Diacronema lutheri
Lineage: Eukaryota; Haptophyta; Pavlovophyceae; Pavlovales; Pavlovaceae
Description: partial Bacterial large subunit ribosomal RNA
Rfam family: Bacterial large subunit ribosomal RNA
Source: RNAcentral
GAGUGAAGCGGCGGGGUGACCCAGCCGUGGACGCCACACGAGUGAGAAUGCAGGCAUGAGUAGCGAAUGAGGAGUGAGAAACUCCUCCACCGAAUGACCAAGGGUUCCUGGGCCAGGUUCAUCCGCCCAGGGUGAGUCGGGACCUAAGGCGAGGCCGACAGGCGUAGUCGAUGGACAACGGGUUGAUAUUCCCGUACCCGCGUAGAAGCGCCCAUGACGAGCCCGGUGAUGCUGACCGCCCGAUCCUUCCGACGACUUCGGUCGAAGGGAGGGGAGCGCGGG